This 537-nucleotide long non-coding RNA is filed under the name Junco hyemalis (dark-eyed junco). Its description in RNAcentral is "lncRNA (ENSJHYG00000017169.1)". The record is from RNAcentral. Lineage: Eukaryota; Metazoa; Chordata; Aves; Passeriformes; Passerellidae.
CUCCAAGUGCUGAGCCUGAUCUCCAGCUCGUGUGGAGCAGCGUGAGGCUCAAUGGGAUCAUUUUUUUGGUUGCCACCAGGUCCUGCUGGCUGUCUGUGUCCCCCUCAGGCCCUGGUGACGCCUCAGCAGGAGGAUGAGCCUUUGUGCAUGCUGGAUUCCUGCUGUCACCUCCCUUGUCACCUUGAUACUCUACCCUGUCCUCCUGCUGGCCCUUUACACCAUGCUCAGCAGGAAAAUUGCCCAGCAUUCCUGCAGGAUGCAGGUGAGCAGCAGCCCUGGGGAGCAUCCCAGCCCUCAGCCCAGCCCAGCUCCAGCCUCAGCACCAGGAGGGGACCUGGCACAGAAACAGCCUGGGGCACAAAAACAACCUGGGGCACAAAACCCAUCCCCAGCCUAUGCAGGUAAGGGGCUCUGCAGCCAUGGGGCGUUGUCCUGGCACGGGGAUGGGAGGUUUUGGGUGGUAUUUGUGUGAUGUCUCUUCCUUACGUGCUCUGGGGUGGGAAAAGGGCCAAGCAGGAGCUGCCCCCUGUUCCCACC